CCCAGGUCAGGCGGGGCUACCCGCUGAAUUUAAGCAUAUCAUA
This 43-nucleotide ribosomal RNA is filed under the name Saponaria ocymoides. Its description in RNAcentral is "partial 28S ribosomal RNA". The record is from RNAcentral. RNAcentral also lists the same sequence under 6 other names. Lineage: Eukaryota; Viridiplantae; Streptophyta; Magnoliopsida; Caryophyllales; Caryophyllaceae.